GCCCAGACUCCUACGGGAGGCAGCAGUGGGGGAUAUUGCACAAUGGGGGGAACCCUGAUGCAGCGACGCCGCGUGGGUGAAGAAGCGCCUCGGCGCGUAAAGCCCUGUCAGCAGGGAAGAAAAUGACGGUACCUGAAGAAGAAGCCCCGGCUAACUACGUGCCAGCAGCCGCGGUAAUACGUAGGGGGCAAGCGUUAUCCGGAUUUACUGGGUGUAAAGGGGGCGCAGACGGCGAUGCAAGCCAGGAGUGAAAGCCCGGGGCCCAACCCCGGGACUGCUCUUGGAACUGCGUGGCUGGAGUGCAGGAGGGGCAGGCGGAAUUCCUGGUGUAGCGGUGAAAUGCGUAGAUAUCAGGAGGAACAUCAGUGGCGAAGGCGGCCGCCUGGCACAAAACUGACGCUGAGGUACGAAAGCGUGGGUAGCAAACAGGAUUAGAUACCCUCGUACC
RNAcentral lists this ribosomal RNA (448 nucleotides) under uncultured bacterium. RNAcentral describes it as "bacterial SSU rRNA". It matches the Rfam family "Bacterial small subunit ribosomal RNA", at positions 329 to 794 of the family's 1533-position model. The record is from RNAcentral.